This 1017-nucleotide ribosomal RNA is filed under the name Alloprevotella tannerae. RNAcentral describes it as "bacterial SSU rRNA". It matches the Rfam family "Bacterial small subunit ribosomal RNA", at positions 28 to 1036 of the family's 1533-position model. The record is from RNAcentral. Lineage: Bacteria; Pseudomonadati; Bacteroidota; Bacteroidia; Bacteroidales; Prevotellaceae.
GAUGAACGCUAGCUACAGGCUUAACACAUGCAAGUCGUGGGGCAGCGGAUACUUAGCUUGCUAAGUAUGCCGGCGACCGGCGCACGGGUGAGUAACGCGUACCGAACCUGCCCAUCACACAGGGAUAGGCUUGCGAAAGCAAGAUUAAUACCUGAUGGUCUCAGUUGUAUGCGUGUAUGAUUGAGUAAAGCCUUCGGGCGGUGAUGGAUGGCGGUGCGUCCCAUUAGGAAGUUGGCGGGGAAACGGCUCACCAAUCCUUCGAUGGGUAGGGGUUCUGAGAGGAAGGUCCCCCACAUUGGAACUGAGAUACGGUCCAAACUCCUACGGGAGGCAGCAGUGAGGAAUAUUGGUCAAUGGGCGAGAGCCUGAACCAGCCAAGUAGCGUGCGGGAUGAAGGCCCUUGUGGUCGUAAACCGCUUUUAUCAGUGAAUAAAGUGCAUCACGUGUGGUGUCAUUGCAGGUAGCUGAAGAAAAAGGACCGGCUAAUUCCGUGCCAGCAGCCGCGGUAAUACGGAAGGUCCGGGCGUUAUCCGGAAUUAUUGGGUUUAAAGGGAGCGCAGGCGGGAGUGUAAGUCAGCUGUUAAAUAUCAGGGCCCAACUCUGUUAUGCAGUUGAAACUAUAUUUCUUGAGUACGCACAGGGAUGGCGGAAUUCAGGGUGUAGCGGUGAAAUGCUUAGAUAUCCUGAAGAACUCCGAUCGCGAAGGCAGCCAUCCGGAGCGUAACUGACGCUGAGGCUCGAAGGUGCGGGUAUCGAACAGGAUUAGAUACCCUGGUAGUCCGCACGGUAAACGAUGAAUACUCGCAGUUCGGCCGUUUAGGUCGAGUUGUCCAGCGAAAGCGUUAAGUAUUCCACCUGGGGAGUACGCCGGCAACGGUGAAACUCAAAGGAAUUGACGGGGGCCCGCACAAGCGGAGGAACAUGUGGUUUAAUUCGAUGAUACGCGAGGAACCUUACCCGGGCUUGAACCAAGAGUGACGAGUGCAGAGAUGCGCUUAUUCUUCGGACACUUUUGGA